Molecule: ribosomal RNA, 543 nt
Filed under: uncultured Geobacteraceae bacterium
Lineage: Bacteria; Pseudomonadati; Thermodesulfobacteriota; Desulfuromonadia; Geobacterales; Geobacteraceae
Description: bacterial SSU rRNA
Rfam family: Bacterial small subunit ribosomal RNA
Source: RNAcentral
UUAGAGUUUGAUCCUGGCUCAGAACGAACGCUGGCGGCGUGCCUAACACAUGCAAGUCGAACGUGAUCCAGAGCUUGCUCUGGUGAAAGUGGCGCACGGGUGAGUAACGCGUGGAUAACCUACCCUGGUAUCCGGGAUAACAUUCCGAAAGGGGUGCUAAUACCGGAUAAGCCCACGGGCUCUUUGGAGCUUGCGGGAAAAGGUGGCCUCUAUUUAUAAGCUACUGUAUCAGGAUGGGUCCGCGUACCAUUAGCUAGUUGGCGGUGUAACGGACCACCAAGGCGACGAUGGUUAGCUGGUCUGAGAGGAUGAUCAGCCACACUGGAACUGAGACACGGUCCAGACUCCUACGGGAGGCAGCAGUGGGGAAUUUUGCGCAAUGGGGGAAACCCUSACGCAGCAACGCCGCGUGAGUGAUGAAGGCCUUUGGGUCGUAAAGCUCUGUCAGAGGGGAAGAAAUGAUAUARUSCUAAUACCACUUUAUCUUGACGGUACCCUCAAAGGAAGCACCGGCUAACUCCGUGCCAGCAGCCGCGGUAAUAC